GCGCCAGACUCCUACGGGAGGCAGCAGUGGGGGAUAUUGCACAAUGGGGGAAACCCUGAUGCAGCGACGCCGCGUGGGUGAAGUAUUUCGGUAUGUAAAGCCCUAUCAGCAGGGAAGAAAGAAGACGGUACCUGACUAAGAAGCCCCGGCUAACUACGUGCCAGCAGCCGCGGUAAUACGUAGGGGGCGAGCGUUAUCCGGAUUCACUGGGUGUAAAGGGAGCGUAGACGGCCGUGCAAGCCAGGAGUGAAAGCCCGGGGCCCAACCCCGGGACUGCUCUUGGAACUGUGCGGCUGGAGUGCGGGAGGGGCAGGCGGAAUUCCUGGUGUAGCGGUGAAAUGCGUAGAUAUUAGGAGGAACACCAGUGGCGAAGGCGGCUUACUGGACUGUAACUGACGUUGAGGCUCGAAAGCGUGGGGAGCAAACAGGAUUAGAUACCCUAGUAGG
RNAcentral lists this ribosomal RNA (447 nucleotides) under uncultured bacterium. RNAcentral's name for it is "bacterial SSU rRNA". It matches the Rfam family "Bacterial small subunit ribosomal RNA", at positions 328 to 794 of the family's 1533-position model. The record is from RNAcentral.